AAGUCGUAACAAGGUCUCCGUAGGUGAACCUGCGGAGGGAUCAUUAACACGUAUCCACGUAAACACCCGUGAAUUUGUAUGUUCCGCACUUGGAUCCAAACAAAGUUAGCAGGCUUCGGCGACGUUUACCAGAAGCGACAGCAAUGUCGUUUUUGGAGGAGCGUGUCUGUUAACCAGCUUCUUCGGAAGAACGGAUUCCGGUGCGCAGACGCCGUGUUUUGUACCAACUUUUUAACACAUUGUAAACCAUUUUGUCUAAUCAUUUCUAAGACCAGGUUAACGCCUGCUCUGAAUAAAUAAAACUAAAGCACAACUCUUAGCAACGGAUAUCUUGGUUCUC
This 340-nucleotide unclassified non-coding RNA is filed under the name fungal sp. Its description in RNAcentral is "partial internal transcribed spacer region". The stretch from base 1 to 46 matches the Rfam family "Eukaryotic small subunit ribosomal RNA", at positions 1786 to 1831 of the family's 1831-position model. The record is from RNAcentral. RNAcentral also lists the same sequence under 1 other name. Lineage: Eukaryota; Fungi.